RNAcentral lists this ribosomal RNA (512 nucleotides) under uncultured Desulfobulbus sp. RNAcentral describes it as "bacterial SSU rRNA". It matches the Rfam family "Bacterial small subunit ribosomal RNA", at positions 903 to 1382 of the family's 1533-position model. Lineage: Bacteria; Pseudomonadati; Thermodesulfobacteriota; Desulfobulbia; Desulfobulbales; Desulfobulbaceae. The record is from RNAcentral.
UGCGCCUUGCCAGCCCGCUCAGAAACUUAAAGGAAUUGACGGGGCCCGCACAAGCGGUGGAGUAUGUGGUUUAAUUCGAUGCAACGCGAAGAACCUUACCUGGUCUUGACAUCCCGGAGACCCUUAGGAAACUAGGGGGUGCUUCCAUCUGGAAGAAUCUGGAGACAGGUGCUGCAUGGCUGUCGUCAGCUCGUGUCGUGAGAUGUUGGGUUAAGUCCCGCAACGAGCGCAACCCUUGCCUUUAGUUGCCAGCAGUUCGGCUGGGCACUCUAAAGGGACUGCCGGUGUUAAACCGGAGGAAGGUGGGGAUGACGUCAAGUCCUCAUGGCCUUUAUGACCAGGGCUACACACGUACUACAAUGGCCGAUACAAAGGGCAGCGACACUGCGAGGUGAAGCCAAUCCCGUAAAAUCGGUCUCAGUCCGGAUUGGAGUCUGCAACUCGACUCCAUGAAGUUGGAAUCGCUAGUAAUCGUGAAUCAGAAUGUCACGGUGAAUACGUUCCCGGGCCUU